Long non-coding RNA from Haliotis rubra (blacklip abalone), 240 nucleotides. RefSeq lists it as uncharacterized. The transcript has 3 exons. Lineage: Eukaryota; Metazoa; Mollusca; Gastropoda; Lepetellida; Haliotidae. The record is from RefSeq and is a predicted model, not a curated record.
UGACCACACGUUACCGUCAAGACCGAGGGCAAUGGGCAACUCAGAAUCGAAAUUGGCGUCAUCGACAAUGGAGAACAGUGCUUUUUUCUGAUGAAAGCCGAUAUUGUGUUUCGACAGCCGAUGGCAGAGUGAGAGUAUGGUUAAGGCGUGGAGAAUGGUUUUCCAAUGAGUGUUUUGUUGAAAAGAGACUCGUGGGUGGUCCAAGCAUCAUGGUGUGGGGUGCAAUCGGUCUGAACCAGA